UGCAGCGGUCCAGACCGGGACAAAGGCCGACGGAGGAGCACGAGCUGCACUGCGUCCACCAGGAGGGUCAGUCGACAGAGCGGGUGGUCCAACAGUGUGUGGACGGUACUGAGCUCUGUCCAUCGGAGCCGACCACGGCGGAGGCGGCGAAUAUCAGAUGGAGAUGACAGAUGUGCGUGAAGACCUGGCCGCCCUUCGCCGGGAGGUGGCCGCACUGAGCAAAGUGGUGGCCAAAGUCCAGGGGGAGUACGCCGCACUUCACGGUGCGAUGGUCCGCCUGGAGCAGGCAGUUAUCGAGGAGCGGACCACUCGCCAGACCGUGGUGGAGGAUCUGCGGCAGGAGGUCCGCCGGCGAGCGGCGCCAUCCGGCCGUCCCCAGGGUAGAGCUAGAAAAAUGGCCAAUGACGUCAUAGUACAGACGGAGCC
Amphibalanus amphitrite is the source of this 426-nucleotide long non-coding RNA. RefSeq lists it as uncharacterized. The transcript has 3 exons. The record is from RefSeq and is a predicted model, not a curated record. Lineage: Eukaryota; Metazoa; Arthropoda; Thecostraca; Balanomorpha; Balanidae.